RNAcentral lists this long non-coding RNA (3383 nucleotides) under Solanum tuberosum (potato). RNAcentral's name for it is "long non-coding RNA (STUB_LNC010227)". The record is from RNAcentral. Lineage: Eukaryota; Viridiplantae; Streptophyta; Magnoliopsida; Solanales; Solanaceae.
GGAAACUGAAGGCUGCCCAGAGUUAGAAGAAAGUUGCACCAAUCGGAGUAGCUCAAACUCCCACUAGUCCAACAUUUCCCGUGUUCCAAAUAUUGAAGUAGAUGGGAGGAAAAUUCAGAACUUAUGUAAGUCUCUGUUUCUUCUUCUAAUUUUUAAAUUUUCAUAUCUUGAUAUGAAAAUUUAUGUGUUUUUUUAUAGGUUACUAGUUCCACGGUCAUGCUAGAACGUCUCUGUGGUAAAUUAAGCCUCAUCCCAUGAGCGGCAGGCAAUUAUGUCAGAUAAAUUUUCAUAUAGGAUUUAUAGGCACUUUGUAAUCUUCUAAAUUUUGUGUCUUCCUUUUUGUUGGGAACAAAUUUUUGGAGGUCUAUGCUGAUGAAUACAACAUGAAAAUUUAUGUUGAUGCUCAUACAUUACUAGGUACAAGGUCAUGGAAGAACUUCAUUGUGGUUUAUCAAGUCAAAAUCCAUGGGCAGCAAUCACAUUAGGUAUCUUUAUUAGUUGUUAGAGGAAUGCUAUAACAAGUUUGUCAGCUUCAUUCCUUUUCUCUCAUGAUACAUUUUUACUGUUUAACCAGGUUUGUUAUGUUUCACAGAGGAACCACCACUUUUAUUUUGUUUGAAGAACAGAAUCUUCAGCUGUAGACUCAUUACGAAACACUUUCAUGAGUAUUUGGGUACUGAACAUCUUUUCGGGAAACUGUAGUCUACAUAUGAAACAUCAAAAAACUCAAAGCAUAUAGGGUGCUCAAUGUGAAGCUACACACGUCUAUCCUCUGUCUUUGCAUGAACCUAUUUGCCUUUUUAUUCUCCAUGUAAGUUUCUGCAAUUUUAUUUGACGAAUAAAGUCUGAUAUCUACUUUCAUAGGGACUUUGUAUUUAACUUUCUAUGAAAUUGUGAACUGUUAGAAUGUAACCUGUUUUAUUCCCUUUUACUUUCAAUGAUUUACUAUCUCACAGUAUUAAUGUCUGUGCCUCCCCUCUCCCAUCCGGUACGAAAUAAGAAGAAUCUUAGUAUUUGUCAUAUCUAGUCAGGUGAUAUGAUGAAGAUAAUGGAAGUAAUGGAUGGUCGGUGUGUUAUGAAUGGGCCUAGACCAGUAUUGACAAAGCAGCCCAAAGCCGAAUUAAAAGGGCUAUGUGUGGGAUCCGGGUUGAUAAAUAGAGACUUGGGAGAGCAAAAUAGUUUUAUGCAAAUUAUGUGAAGCUUUGGCUUUCUGAUCCUCUCAUCUCCUUUCUAUGGUCUAGAAUCUCAUCCCCUUCUAGUUACCCUCUUCUAUGUUAUCUAUCUAUAAUUAGUGUGUUGUUACUUUGUUGUGGGUAUUAUACAUUGUAACUUGUAUUCCGUAAUAACAAUAUAUAUAUCAGUGUUUGUGUUGAAAAUUGAGUUUGUUACAUUGGUGCUUUCAUCCAGAGGUUUCUCAUGGAGGACCAAAGACUCAAGGCUCUCAUCAAUGAAUCCAUUAAGGAGGCAAAAGAGUCAUUUUCCAAAGAUAUUGCAGACAUUCGCCAUAUGUUACAGGAGGUUACCCGAAAGUUCGUUCCGGCAGGGCCUCACAUUCGAGAUCCAACAAUGGAGGUUGCUCGUCCUCAUCACGGGAAAGGCACUCUUGAAUCCCCCACACUCCGUCAUAGGCCAGCUCCGGUGGAACUAGGACGAUUUCGUGGUGAAAAUCCAGAGGCGUGGAUUUUCCAAGCUGAAUGCUAUUUUGAUUUUUACGGAAUCGUAGAAACGCACAAGCUAACCUUGGCAUCCUUUUAUCUCAACGGUGAAGCUUUGGAAUGGUAUCAAUGGUUGUUUUGCAACAAACAACUGGCUGGCUGGGACCAUUUUGUGGACAAAUUGCUGAUUCGUUUUCGCUCCCGUACUAGGGACAAACAACGCGAGUUCUUACCCAUUCCCAGAAACAAGAAUCAUAGGGCAGUGGAGUACUCUCAGGCGGUUAGUCCAUCGUUGGUUAAUAUUGAGACUUUGGGUCCCAUGUUGGACUCCAAAUAUGACUUGAAGAACAACCCAAACGGCUAUGCCUGCAAGGUGUUCGCUGAAAUGCCCGAUAAGAAAAUUGACAUGGAAGUUGAACAUCCAGUGAUAACUGAUUCAACAAAUCUGGCAUCCCAUAUGUUUGAUGAAAAUUUUCAAACAGUUUCUGCAUUUUAAGGGAGAGUACGGUGAGCUUAUCAUGUUUGAUAAUAAUUGUCUUGCACUACCUUGUUUGCCUUCGAUUUUUAGUCGCACCCAACUUAUGGGAAGAUCUAUAUUUGAUUACUUCAAGGAAUUCGGUCAUGCUAACCUCCCAUUAUCGUUGUAUCAAUUUCCACUUGAUCAUUUCGGGUUCAGCUUUCCAUUUGAUCCUGGUUCUAGUUUGAAAGUUGGAGUCGCGCUGUGAUAAUUUGGAGCAAUGUACUGCUCAUCGGUAAAGUUGCAAGAGAACUGCCUACACCUGCUUCUAACUUGCUGAUGUUAGUAUGUAUAGCUUCCUUAAUAGCUCCAAUGAGAAUCCUCACAAUGAUAUCAAAUUGGUACUACUUGAACCUUGAGGACAAGGUUCUUAUUGGGGCUGAAGGUAUUGUUAUGAAUGGGCCUAGACCAGUAUUGACAAAGCAGCCCAAAGCCGAAUUAAAAGGGCUAUGUGUGGGAUCCGGGUUGAUAAAUAGAGACUUGGGAGAGCAAAAUAGUUUUAUGCAAAUUAUGUGAAGCUUUGGCUUUCUGAUCCUCUCAUCUCCUUUCUAUGGUCUAGAAUCUCAUCCCCUUCUAGUUACCCUCUUCUAUGUUAUCUAUCUAUAAUUAGUGUGUUGUUACUUUGUUGUGGGUAUUAUACAUUGUAACUUGUAUUCCGUAAUAACAAUAUAUAUAUCAGUGUUUGUGUUGAAAAUUGAGUUUGUUACACGGUGCCAUUGAAAUCUGCUUAAUGCUUAUGAGGUAUUCAUGAGCCGGUGACUGUGGUUGCAUCUUGCACGAAGCUUGAAAGUUCAAGGUAAGUUUUUUAGAUCAAUACUUUUUUCUCCCAAAUGCUACUUUUGAAUCAUCAUACUUAUCUAUGGAACAAUGUCAAGUCUUAUAUAUGGUAGAAAUCUAUAUAAGUUUCUUAAUAGACUCAUAAAAAACUAUCUUUAUUUUCAUGCUUUAUCAGUAGAAACUUUAUGGAUAUUUGACACACUUCUCGUUACUUUCACUUCACAGGAUAAUUUCUCCGUUGAUAUUGGAAAGUGAAUUGGAAAUAUUAUUUCCCUGUAUGUGGAAGAUCCGAAAAGGAUUCAUGAAUGAUUAAGUUUGUUGCACAUGAAUCAUGAUAAUCAGUAGAGGCUUUUUGCGUAUGUUGAAUUAAUCAUUAAAGGUCACAGACAUGAAUAAGAUUUGCGAAAAUGCAGUCUAGGAAAUGAAGUUUUUAC